GACGAACGCUGGCGGCGUGCUUAACACAUGCAAGUCGAACGGGCCUUGUCCCCUUUUUUUUGGGGGUGGGGUUAGUGGCGAACGGGUGAGUAACACGUGAGUAACCUGCCCCUCACUUCUGGAUAACCGCUUGAAAGGGUGGCUAAUACGGGGUGUUCUGGCCUGCUCGCAUGGGUGGGUUUGGAAAGAUUCGACCGGUUUUGGUUGUUUUGGUGGGGGAUGGGCUCGCGGCCUAUCAGCUUGUUGGUGGGGUGAUGGCCUGCCAAGGCUUUGACGGGUAGCCGGCCUGAGAGGGUGGGCGGUCACACUGGGACUGAGACACGGCCCAGACUCCUACGGGAGGCAGCAGUGGGGAAUAUUGCACAAUGGGCGCAGGCCUGAUGCAGCGACGCCGCGUGAGGGAUGGAGGCCUUCGGGUUGUGAACCUCUUUCGCCAGUGAAGAAGGUCCUGCUCUUUGUGGUGGGGUUGACGGUAGCUGGGUUAAUGAAGCGCCGGCUAACUACGUG
RNAcentral lists this ribosomal RNA (507 nucleotides) under uncultured bacterium. Its description in RNAcentral is "partial 16S ribosomal RNA". It matches the Rfam family "Bacterial small subunit ribosomal RNA", at positions 28 to 507 of the family's 1533-position model. The record is from RNAcentral.